This 21-nucleotide unclassified non-coding RNA is filed under the name Mus musculus (house mouse). RNAcentral's name for it is "oocyte_clustered_small_RNA9277". The record is from RNAcentral. Lineage: Eukaryota; Metazoa; Chordata; Mammalia; Rodentia; Muridae.
AGAGACCACCACCAUUGAGGU